AUCUGUCUGGAGAUCUCUGUCUUCCUGAGGCCUUUUGAAGCUCCCACUGUGGUUUCUGAAUGCUUUGGUGCUGAGCAGCUCCUCAAUUCCCUCUGAGGCACAAUCAUUUGUUUACUUGCUCUGCUCAUUUCAUUCUGCACUUGUGUAUGGCAACUACAAGAUGGCAUGUCGACUCUGAGAAUUUGGGGGGAAAAAGGGAGGGAGACAGUUAAAAGUUCCAGCCCUGAAAGCUUUUGACACAUCUUUCUGUCCAUGUAAUCAAUCUUCUAAGUUUCCAAGAGCAGCUGAGAUUUUUAAAAACAGCUGUAAUCUGUGGUCAUUGAUGGUGGAGUAGAUUGUUUGCCAAACUAUUACCAUAACUGUCAACCGAAAUCAGAAAAAUAAUCUCAUUGUGCUGGACAGAUGCCUUUCCUGCAUUAUUGAUAUAGUCGCUGCAGAGUAAUGGAGAAAUAUAAAGCAUUGUUCUAUUUACAAAAGGAGAUUGGCCAAGUCCUUGAGAGUGAGCAGGAGGGACAGGCACUUAAAGGAAGUGAGAUAUAGUCAACUCAGUAAAAGUUAUGUGUCAGGGUCAUGUGGCCUCCAUAGUCAGCAGUAGAAUCUCAGUUUUCAAUAGCUUUUCCUCUCCUUUCUCACUUUCAGAUUUAGCUCCAAAGCUUAAUCUCUGACUAAAUGAGCUUACUAGUGCUUCAGUGCAGCACCAUGGAAUUCGCACAGCUUUUUCCUCUUGCCUCUGGCUGCCCCAAAUGCAUCUCGGGGACUGCCACGCUUCCAGAACAUGCUGAAAACAGUGCAUUCACCAUGCUCCACUUGAUAGCAAGGAUAAAGCAAGUCAGCACUGCCCAGUAGGAUACAAUACAGGAGAGUUUUGUUUGCUUGCCAUCGAGAUACUUCUGAAAACACUGUGCAAAGCAAUGAACUAAAUGUGAGCAUUGCAGCAAAUCCUUAGGCAGAUGGAGCAGCCAGCCUGCAUUUAGCCGUAGCGCCCACAGAGUCUUUUGCUGUUACAAAUGUUUGUAUAUAGAGAGGGGCCCAAUUUUGCUUCAGAAUCUGCUACAGUGAACCCAUAACCCCAAGUUCCCCAUUUAUAGCACAAAUGAAUAAAUAUCUAUAUAUUCAGAGGACUGGAGGUGGUACUGGAGCUUCUAUUUUCAUCUGAACACCAUGCAGGGGUCAAGUACAGUGAAAGUCCCGUGAUCAGCUGAGGACAGGCUCUGGGAGAUGCAUGGUUUCAUGUCCCCUUUAAUUUUAAUUUAUUUUAAAAUUACCUCACAUUUCACUGCAGGGAAAAGUUUCUCUUCUCAUCAGCUUUUUGAAAAUAUAAAAUUGGAUUUUAUUAUUUUUUUUUUUUUAGCAGGAAUUAUCAGUGUAAGUAGCCCUUGGUUUCUCUUGAAAAGAGAGAUUAGCUGUUACAAAAUGACAGCGGUUUUUAGCUUGUUCUUGUUGAAAAGCAGCUAUCUGAGAUCCAAGCCUUAUUUUGGAAGUAAUAUAAGUACUCUUCAGUAGCUUAAUGUUUUGAGGCAAUACAUGGCUUUUGCCUUUCCUUCUGGGGACAAAAACAUACAGAUGCACUCUUUGUCUCACCGCAAAUAAAGAUGGAAGUAAAAUCAGUUCAUCAAAUGUGGUGUAAUGAGAAUUAUUGUCAUGGUAUAAAAAUAAAUUAAUUAAC
This 1666-nucleotide long non-coding RNA is filed under the name Gallus gallus (chicken). Its description in RNAcentral is "lncRNA (ENSGALG00010020726.1)". Lineage: Eukaryota; Metazoa; Chordata; Aves; Galliformes; Phasianidae. The record is from RNAcentral.